GACGAACCGUGCGAACGUUGUUCGGAAUCACUGGGCUUAAAGGGCGCGUAGGCGGGCUGCCAAGUCAGGGGUGAAAUCCUGCGGCUCAACCGUAGAAGUGCCUUUGAUACUGGUGGCCUUGAGGGAGGUAGGGGCGUGCGGAACUUCCGGUGGAGCGGUGAAAUGCGUAGAGAUCGGAAGGAACACCAACGGCGAAGGCACUCUGCUGGGCCGACACUGACACUGAGAGACGAAAGCUAGGGGAGCAAAUGGG
RNAcentral lists this ribosomal RNA (253 nucleotides) under uncultured bacterium. Its description in RNAcentral is "partial 16S ribosomal RNA". It matches the Rfam family "Bacterial small subunit ribosomal RNA", at positions 524 to 776 of the family's 1533-position model. The record is from RNAcentral.